Molecule: long non-coding RNA, 158 nt
Organism: Juglans microcarpa x Juglans regia
Lineage: Eukaryota; Viridiplantae; Streptophyta; Magnoliopsida; Fagales; Juglandaceae
Exons: 5
Source: RefSeq, a predicted model, not a curated record
UUCUUUAAAUUAUUGUUUUUAUGCCAUAUAUAAUUUUUUAUCCAAAUAUGGGGCAAAUGAUUUACACCAAAAUUACAGAAGAGAUUGGUUGCCCAAAUGUAUAAGAUUUUCUUAAAUUAUGAUAAGAAGAAGAUCAUUAAACUCUAUAGGAAGGUGGA